UGACGGUAUCUAACCAGCAAGUCACGGCUAACUACGUGCCAGCAGCCGCGGUAAUACGUAGGUGGCAAGCGUUAUCCGGAUUUAUUGGGCGUAAAGGGAACGCAGGCGGUUUUUUAAGUCUGAUGUGAAAGCCUUCGGCUUAACCGGAGAAUAGCAUUGGAAACUGGAAGACUUGAGUGCAGAAGAGGAGAGUGGAAUUCCAUGUGUAGCGGUGAAAUGCGUAGAUAUAUGGAGGAACACCAGUGGCGAAAGCGGCUCUCUGGUCUGUAACUGACGCUGAGGUUCGAAAGCGUGGGUAGCAAACAGGAUUAGAUACCCUG
Molecule: ribosomal RNA, 320 nt
Filed under: uncultured bacterium
Lineage: Bacteria
Description: bacterial SSU rRNA
Rfam family: Bacterial small subunit ribosomal RNA
Source: RNAcentral